Molecule: ribosomal RNA, 537 nt
Filed under: uncultured bacterium
Lineage: Bacteria
Description: bacterial SSU rRNA
Rfam family: Bacterial small subunit ribosomal RNA
Source: RNAcentral
AAAUAGAUACCCUGGUAGUCCACCCCGUAAACGUUGGGAACUAGUUGUGGGGUCCAUUCCACGGAUUCCGUGACGCAGCUAACGCAUUAAGUUCCCCGCCUGGGGAGUACGGCCGCAAGGCUAAAACUCAAAGGAAUUGACGGGGACCCGCACAAGCGGCGGAGCAUGCGGAUUAAUUCGAUGCAACGCGAAGAACCUUACCAAGGCUUGACAUACACCAGAACACCCUGGAAACAGGGGACUCUUUGGACACUGGUGAACAGGUGGUGCAUGGUUGUCGUCAGCUCGUGUCGUGAGAUGUUGGGUUAAGUCCCGCAACGAGCGCAACCCUCGUUCUAUGUUGCCAGCACGUUAUGGUGGGAACUCAUGGGAUACUGCCGGGGUCAACUCGGAGGAAGGUGGGAUGACGUCAAAUCAUCAUGCCCCUUAUGUCUUGGGCUUCACGCAUGCUACAAUGGCCGGUACAAAGGGCUGCAAUACCGUGAGUGAGCGAAUCCCAAAAAGCCGGUCCAGUUCGGAUUGAGGUCUGCAACUCGA